UUAACAAGAAUGAUACUAUAUCUGUCGCGAAGGUCGAGAUAUUGUCGACGGAAGGACAGCACGUCAGCGAAGAGAAAGACGUCGAGUGUGUUCGUCGACUCGUUAGUGACGAUGACUUUUCACUUUUCAAAGCCGAAGCCAAGGCUUAACCACAUAUUUCCCUCUCACGGUAGCUGAGUGUCGAUUACAUAUGCCCUGGAUAUAAAUAAAGCAGGCAUAGAAACUCGUCUACGCUACAAUUUCUUCUGUCAGACGAAAUUUAUUCCGCGUGCUCUUUGUAAAUUGACAGUCAUUGCUGUUUUUUAACAAAAGGUUAUUACGAAUUCGUAAGAAAGUCAAGGAACGUCCUUGAUUAUUUCAGUGUUAGUCGUCGUUGAAAUGUGGCAUCAAGUAAUUAACACUUGCAUUAUUCACGGUAGGAGGAGACGUUAGAACCCCUAUAAUACUCUUCCUCUCGUUCCGGAUAACCAAGCGAGAGACCCAUUGACUUCGUUCAUUGAUUUUACGUCAAUCUGCAAAGAGCACCCUUGCGGGCUCUCCGUGAUGCGUUUACCAUAAGCGAUAAGGGCUGUACGGAGUUAGGUGUGAGAGAGGACUAAAUAAUAUCUAUAUAGACGUCAAUGGCAGGUUGUGUAAAAUCUGUAGAUUUGCUGAUUCCUAUCGAAAUCCUCGGGACACCUGUUGUUUCACCUGACGAGGAAAGAUAGUUUUGGUUUCGCGUUAUCGCGGUCAGUUGAGUGAGUUUUCGUGUAAACUCGACGUAUUGGCUCAAAAAGGUUUGAGUAACGUAACUCGGAUGAGACAGAGGUUAAUUUGGUACGAGUUGUAAUCCCUCUCAUCCGUCGGAUGAAAUUCCAGGACCCUCCGGGAUGGACGAAUGACAGAAGGCUUUGGAUUAUUGCCUCGCUUUAUUCAGGAUUAUAUCGAGUGCGAAGAAAAAGAAAAAAAAAAAAAAAAAAAAAAGAAAAGAAGAAAUUAAUCGACACUUUUUGCUUUCAUCAUUAGUUUAAUCAACGUGGGGUAGACGCUAUCUCGUGGUUCUCCAUUUGCUUCGAUCGGAAUGCGAAGACGUGCAUGGGAUUGUGAUGUUACCAUUAUUCGCCUCGAUAACGUUUACGAUACGCAUAUAGCCUAGCAUAUAUCGUAUAGGUUGGGAGGGGUCGGACCAGAGCGUGCCGGCAGCUCGUCGUUAAUAUAAUGGCGAAAAUGGCAAAACGGGUCGACAUCACGUAGAGAAAUAGUGAAAAUAGUAAUGACGAAAAUUCAGGCAGGACGUGAGCUAACACUUUUGAAAUAUUUGAAAAUGAAGCUGAAAAUGAUGAACUCAUAACCGUCACUCUGUUCCGUCGCCCAAGCCUUUUGGAGUCUCCCUAAUUGACCCACGCCAGUAGCCAAUAGGAUUUGAAAUUAUAGGUCUCGAGGAAAAAAGACGAUUAUCAGUCAAAUAGAGAGAAUACAAACAAACAUUAACGACCGGGACUUUGACGUUAAUCGGGAUGGAAAAGGAAAGCAGUUAAAAGGAAUUCUUCUAGCCGGACUGAACUCGUCACGCAUUUGAUUAAAAUUAUAGUUACAGUAUCUAUAUAUAUAUAUAUAUAUAUAUUAUACUAAGCGCUCUAAUAUCUAGACAGGAAAGUAAGAUUUUUAAAAUGGAAUGCAUUCCACGACAUCAGCUUUAUCGUACGUGCUGUCUUGGUCGUUUACAGGGAAAUGACGUGGAUGGAAAUGAAUAAUGUAUGGAAGAGCAUAUGUAAGCGUAGAUAAGAAUCUUAUCAAAAGAAUCGAUCAAAGACGUUCUGUGAGGUCACGCUCGAGUGGUGCCGUCUAAUUUAUUGAGUGCAACGAAAUGGUGAUAUGACGAAGGCUACCGUUAAGAUUGGACAAUAAUAAUGA
Molecule: long non-coding RNA, 1893 nt
Organism: Vespa velutina
Lineage: Eukaryota; Metazoa; Arthropoda; Insecta; Hymenoptera; Vespidae
Exons: 6
Source: RefSeq, a predicted model, not a curated record